UGGGGGAUCGUCUAGCGGCAGGACAGUGGACUCUGGAUCCAUUAACCGAGGUUCGAAUCCUCGUCCCCCAGCCA
RNAcentral lists this transfer RNA (74 nucleotides) under Desulfobacterales bacterium. RNAcentral describes it as "tRNA-Gln". It matches the Rfam family "tRNA". From Rfam's summary of the family: Transfer RNA (tRNA) molecules are approximately 80 nucleotides in length. Their secondary structure includes four short double-helical elements and three loops (D, anti-codon, and T loops). The record is from RNAcentral. Lineage: Bacteria; Pseudomonadati; Thermodesulfobacteriota; Desulfobacteria; Desulfobacterales.